This is a long non-coding RNA of Felis catus (domestic cat), 1395 nucleotides long. RefSeq lists it as uncharacterized. The record is from RefSeq and is a predicted model, not a curated record. The transcript is spliced from 6 exons. Lineage: Eukaryota; Metazoa; Chordata; Mammalia; Carnivora; Felidae.
CAGGCUAUGGCAAUACCAUCCUGAACACGCCGGAUCUCCUCUGAUCUGAGAAGCUAAGCAGGGUGGAGCCUGUCUGCUGACCUUACUAAGAUUUCACCAACUUUCCAUGCAUUUAUAUGUGCAUGCAUGCUUACGAAGUAUUAGAUGAAAAAUUUGAAAAGUCCCGUCUGUCCUUGGAAUGUAAUCUCUUAUGAAGCAGCCUGGAAAAAUGCUGAAGAGCAAAAGAGUACGUUUUAUUCUGAGUUCUUUUGAGGCUGAAGCUAACAUUUGAACUAUCUCCAAGAUUGUGAUCUCUGCAGAGAUAUUUAUUGCACCUUGAUGAAGAUGAAUGGUGUGACAAUAAAUAAGAUGCUUCUCUCUCCUGCCUGGGUCUGCCCUUGAGACACAAGAACGUGUGGCACACAGCACCGUGGGAGCAUCAGGGAUCCGCAUCAUGCCCGGAGCUGACAGAGUGCCCUGAGUAAUGGCGGCAACCUUCCAAAACACACUAGUGGGGCCUCCAUCUAUAGUCGUACCAGACAACAAUGACCCCUAACUCCACAAUACAUCUUGUUCAUCAUUCCUUAUAUUACCAAACAGAAUGGGAUUGGAAAUGCUGGUCAAAAGUAAUGAGGCACCUGGGAAACAGAAAGAAAGCUUGUCCUUCACAGCCCUGUCCACUGAAGUGGUUUCAGCACACAGGCCCAUCUUUGUGUUUCCUCUGGAGUGCAGAAACCAUCAUGGUCCCCAGGAUCAAAGCCAUGCAUGGCAGAGCAACAACAUAGAAGGAACCUGGAUCUUUGAAGACUUUGUGCAACACAGCUAUAUUACCAGGCCUAAAUUUGCUUAAGCAAAAGAAAAGUAAAUUUUAUCUUAUUUAAAGCACUAUUACUGAGGGUAUUCUAAAACACAUAGCCAUAUCUAGUACAAGCUAAUACAAUAAAACAAAGUACUAUAGAUGUAGUACCUAUGGAUGAUAAAAUAUAGAUAAGGUCCAGCCCUUGCUCCCACGAUUCCUUCAAUCUACUAGGGAAAAUAACAUAUACAAAUGAAUAAAUGGGCUAUAAAUGUCAUACAAACUGAGUCUUAUAGGAUAUAGAAGAGAAAAAUAAUAAUUUUAGGGUGUGAAAAGGGUAACUUUAUGGGCAAAAUAAUGUGAAAUUUGGGUCAAUAGCUGAUAUUAGAAAGGGAAAAAAUGGAAUGUUUUGGGAAUAGACUGAACUAAGAGAAGCUCAAAGAAGGGCAUUUGAGAGAACCAAAGUGAUCUAGUUUGGCUAGAGAGACAUGAAAGACAAAGGAAAUCAAGACAAGUAGAUUAAGGCUGUUUACAGAAAAUAAUGCCAGGCAAACAAUUGUGCUUUUAGGGAAUAGAAUUCAUUUAAAUCUUGGGGCACCUGGAUGGCUCAGUUGGUUGAG